GUGUCGACAGCCAGCCGCUGCUGGAGGGGGAGGCACUGUGCUUUAUUCAAAGAGCCACCUGGAGUUCUGAGGGAAACGGGUGCUAACUAGGCAAAUGCAUUUCCUGAAGAAAAUGCAUGUGGAUGCUGAUUGCUGAAGAAUUGCCCUGAAAAUGCUGAAAUUGCUGAAACAGCUGAAGGCUAUGAUGCAAUGCUGAAUAAUUAUGGAAGAUGAAACGGAAAACUGAAGUUGGGAAUUUAACUUCAUUAUCUGAAGAAGAUGCGACAGGCACCGGAGACUUGACGGCCACAACUCUGAGCAGCUGUAUCGGCAAUGGAGGUGGAGAACAUGGUCCAUUCAGACUUAAUGCCUCCAGUCUCUCUCAGGAUCUGGUCAAAGCUCUGCCAGAGCCACAGAACGGAAAGGUCCCACAGCAGGGCUGAAGCCAUGGUCUCCAAAGAACUUUCUCCCAAGUCAUCUGGUUUUGAAUGCUGUGUGCAUCUGCAUUGGUUGUCGCUGUAGAGGCCAUGGUGACCUUUGCCUACAAAGGCAGGUGUUUCGAAGAGGGGUGUGUGGAUAUGGGCCAAAGAGAAGAAC
Long non-coding RNA from Monopterus albus (swamp eel), 576 nucleotides. RefSeq lists it as uncharacterized. The record is from RefSeq and is a predicted model, not a curated record. Lineage: Eukaryota; Metazoa; Chordata; Actinopteri; Synbranchiformes; Synbranchidae. The transcript has 5 exons.